RNAcentral lists this ribosomal RNA (456 nucleotides) under uncultured bacterium. RNAcentral's name for it is "bacterial SSU rRNA". It matches the Rfam family "Bacterial small subunit ribosomal RNA", at positions 69 to 507 of the family's 1533-position model. The record is from RNAcentral.
AGCUUGCUUUUGAAAGUUGAGUGGCAAACGGGUGAGUAACGCGUAGACAACCUGCCGUAAAGAUGGGGACAACAGUCCGAAAGGACUGCUAAUACCGAAUGUUGUGGAACUUCCGCAUGGGAGCUUCCCUAAAGAUGGCCUUUACUUGUAAGCUAUCGCUUUUCGAUGGGUUUGCGUUUGAUUAGCUAGUUGGUGGGGUAACGGCUUUCCAAGGCGACGAUCAGUAGCCGGUUUGAGAGGAUGAACGGCCCCACUGGAAAUGAGACACGGUCCCGACUCCUACGGGAGGCAGCAGUGGGGAAUUUUUCGCAAUGGGCGAAAGCCUGACGGAGCAACGCCGCGUGAGUGAAGAAGGCCUUCGGGUUGUAAAGCUUUGUUAAUCGGGACGAACGGCCCUGUGAACAAUACGCGCAGGGAAUGACGGUACCAGGAAAGAAAGCCCCGGCUAACUACGUG